This 161-nucleotide ribosomal RNA is filed under the name uncultured Ganoderma. RNAcentral describes it as "partial 28S ribosomal RNA". It matches the Rfam family "Eukaryotic large subunit ribosomal RNA", at positions 1 to 157 of the family's 3401-position model. Lineage: Eukaryota; Fungi; Basidiomycota; Agaricomycetes; Polyporales; Polyporaceae. The record is from RNAcentral.
UCUGACCUCAAAUCAGGUAGGACUACCCGCUGAACUUAAGCAUAUCAAUAAGCGGAGGAAAAGAAACUAACAAGGAUUCCCCUAGUAACUGCGAGUGAAGCGGGAAAAGCUCAAAUUUAAAAUCUGGCGGUCUUUGGCCGUCCGAGUUGUAGUCUGGAGAA